GACUACUGCUUUGUUCCACUUAUACUUGUAUAUGACUCUUCGUUGACAUGUCAAAAUAAGCGCUGUACUGUUAUAUUGUUUGAGAAUUAAAAAAGUACAGUCCAGGCACCUUUUCUGCCAGGUGAGAUCGAGCUGGGCGUCUGAUAUGUCCUAACAUGUCCUAGAACUGUCUUUAUGUUGGUCGGAAAUCAAACAUCUUCCUACUGCUGAUACUGCAGCUUGCUGCAACUUGUGAUUGCGUGUUCAUUUCACACUCUUUCACAGUUAAUAACAUAAUUUAAUAAUAGGCCCCGCCCCCGACUGUACCGCCACCUUUAGUAACCAGCAGCUGGGUGGUCCCAUUAGUCACAUACUCAAGUUAUUGGAGAAAUGAGAAACACAGUCACUACAUUAUGAACACGUAUGAAUUCAGUCAUCUCCAUUUUCUGAACACUUUUUUUACAUUUAAUGAAACAGUUCAUGAACAACCCCUAACUUUUAUAAAGUGUCCUGUAUUUAAAGAACCAAGAUUCAUAAACGAACUUUUAUUUAGAACAUUUAAAUACAAAACCGAGUGUUACAUUCAAACCAGGACAGAUUCAAAAAUCAGAAAGUGAGUUGUCAUUUGUCCCUCUGCUGUGGUCUCUCUGUUGUUAAUGAAGACGUAUUAAUGACAUCAUCGAUAAAGAGAAUAAAACAGCAGCUUGGUGCUGAGAAACGCCCCCUGUCAGUGUUUCCUGUCCAGCAGGGAGGAGACUUUCUGCGCCUCCUUCAGCAGAGUAACGGAUCUGAGAGCUGUCGGUGGUUCCUGUGUCGGUGGUCCGGUGAGGAUCAGCUGUAACGGGACUGUUUAAAGAUGCUGAUGUUUCUGCUCCUCGUUUUCGUUUCCCAGCAUGCCUCAGGGCUGGAAGUAGAGCAGGGGGUUGAGUCUGUCCUGCUGCCCUGUCAGGUACCAGUUAAUGUUUCCAUGAGCUCCACAGCAGCAGUGUGGGACCAAGAGGAACUGACGAGGCCAAUGGUUCACGGACGUGUGAAGAGUGGUGAUGAUCUUUCUCUUCAAAAUGAUCGUUACACCAACCGAACAUCAAUGAGAGCCGACGCUCUGCAGACUGGAGACCUCAGCCUUACUCUGAGGAACCCCACAGUCUCUGACAGUGGAACCUACACCUGCACCGCCCGCAAACAAGGACAAGAGCUGAGCCGGACUGAAGUACAGCUGAAGGUCACAGAAGCUCCUCCAGUCUGGCCCAAAGUCCUCUCAGGUGUCCUGGGUACUCUUCUUCUCCUGACUCUUCUCUGUGGUCUCUGUGUGUAUUUUGAACAUAAAAGGAUGAAGCAGAGUGAAGUUCCUCAAAGAGAGUUUGUGGAGGUGACACAGGGGGUGAAGUCUGUCCUGCUGCCCUUUAAAACUACACCUGACCUUUCUGAGGACGUCACAGUGGAGUGGACUCUCACUCAACCCAAACUCAUGACAGUCCACGUGUAUGAGAGUGGAAACAAUCAGCCACAUAAACAAGACCAGGGCUACAGAGGUCGCACAGAGAUGAAGGAAGAUCCACUGAGAACUGGAGACUUCAGUCUGACCCUGAAAGACUUCUACCUCACUGACAGUGGAGUCUACACCUGCACCGUCUACAACAAGGAUGGGAACGUGCUGCUACAGAAAUCAGUGACUCUCGCUGUCAGAGAUGUUGGGAUGCAGAUGGUGGUUACACAAGGGCUAAAGUUUGUAAUGCUGCCCUUCAAAAUACCACGUGACCUUCCUCAGGGCACCACAGUGGAGUGGAGACACAACAGUGUGAAAGUCUACAAGUGCAUAGCUAUAAAUUUUGGCACACAGCACCAGCCUCGCAGAGAUCGUGCAGAGAUGGAUGGACAUCCACUGACAACUGGAGACUUCAGUCUGACCCUUAGAGACCCCCACCUCACUGACAGUGGAGUCUACACCUGCACCGUCAACAACACAUACAGAGACAUCCUGCUACAGAAAGUGGUGACUCUCAGUGUCAGAGAUAACGAAGUGGGCGUGUUGGAGGUGACACAAGGGGAGAGGUCUGUGCUGCUGCCCUUUCAAACCACAGCUGACCUUCGUCAGGGCGUCACAGUGGAGUGGACACGCUCAGACUCCAAACACACCAAAGUCUGUAUGUUUCAGAAAAGCCAAAGCCAGGCAGACAAACAGCACCAGGGUUACAGAGGUCGCGCAGAGAUGGAUGAAGAUCCACUGAGAACUGGAGACCUCAGUCUGACCCUGAAAGACCUCCACCCUACUGACAGUGGAGUCUACACCUGCACCGUCUACAACAAGGAUGGACACAUGCUGCUACAGAGAGUAGUGACUCUCAGUGUCAGAGGUGAGUGA
Molecule: long non-coding RNA, 2341 nt
Filed under: Oreochromis niloticus (Nile tilapia)
Lineage: Eukaryota; Metazoa; Chordata; Actinopteri; Cichliformes; Cichlidae
Description: lncRNA (ENSONIG00000038206.1)
Source: RNAcentral